This 62-nucleotide transfer RNA is filed under the name Sinergasilus undulatus. Its description in RNAcentral is "tRNA-Ile". Lineage: Eukaryota; Metazoa; Arthropoda; Copepoda; Poecilostomatoida; Ergasilidae. The record is from RNAcentral.
UACUUGAUGCCUGAGUUAAGGGUAGCCUUGAUAAGGCUAUUACGCGAGUUUCGCUCAAGUAA